AGUGAACGCUGGCGGUAGGCCUAACACAUGCAAGUCGAACGGCAGCACAGAGGAGCUUGCUCCUUGGGUGGCGAGUGGCGGACGGGUGAGGAAUACAUCGGAAUCUACUCUGUCGUGGGGGAUAACGUAGGGAAACUUACGCUAAUACCGCAUACGACCUACGGGUGAAAGCAGGGGACCUUCGGGCCUUGCGCGAUUGAAUGAGCCGAUGUCGGAUUAGCUAGUUGGCGGGGUAAAGGCCCACCAAGGCGACGAGCCGUAGCUGGUCUGAGAGGAUGAGCAGCCACACUGGAACUGAGAAACGGUCCAAACUCCUACGGGAGGCAGCAGUGGGGAAUAUUGGACAAUGGGCGCAAGCCUGAUUCAGCCAUACCGCGUGGGUGAAGAAGGCCUUCGGGUUGUAAAGCCCUUUUGUUGGGAAAGAAAUCCAGCUGGCUAAUACCCGGUUGGGAUGACGGUACCCAAAGAAUAAGCACCGGCUAACUUCGUGCCAGCCGCCGCCGUAA
Molecule: ribosomal RNA, 506 nt
Filed under: uncultured bacterium
Lineage: Bacteria
Description: partial 16S ribosomal RNA
Rfam family: Bacterial small subunit ribosomal RNA
Source: RNAcentral